CCUACGGGCGGCAGCAGUGAGGAAUAUUGGUCAAUGGGCGGGAGCCUGAACCAGCCAAGUCGCGUGAGGGAAGAAGGUCCUACGGAUUGUAAACCUCUUUUGCCGGGGAGCAACGGGGUCCUUGCGAGGGCCCGAUGAGAGUACCCGGAGAAAAAGCAUCGGCUAACUCCGUGCCAGCAGCCGCGGUAAUACGGAGGGUGCGCGCGUUAUCCGGAUUUAUUGGGUUAAGAGGCUGCGUAGGCGGGCUGUUAAGUCAGCGGUCAACUGUCGGGGCCCAACCCCGGCCUGCAGUUGAAACUGGCGGCCUCGAGUGGGCGAGAGGUAUGCGGAAUGCGUGGUGUAGCGGUGAAAUGCAUAGAUAUCACGCAGAACUCUGAUGGCGAAGGCAGCAGACGGGCGCCCGACUGACGCUGAGGCACGAAGGCGUGGGUAUCGAACAGGAUUAGAUACCCUUGUAGUC
This 460-nucleotide ribosomal RNA is filed under the name uncultured bacterium. Its description in RNAcentral is "partial 16S ribosomal RNA". It matches the Rfam family "Bacterial small subunit ribosomal RNA", at positions 338 to 795 of the family's 1533-position model. The record is from RNAcentral.